ACAGGGAACAAGCAUGAGCCCAUCACCCUCAUUCUGCACUUGUCAUGCAAGAGAAAAAGCAGCCAUCUCUACGCUUGCUUGGAAAAAGCACUCAAAUAUAUUCUACCUGGAGGGUAAGACUUCAGACUUUAGUCCUACUAUUAACCUUCUUCCUGCAUCAUGUUUCCUGCUCUCUGAUGGCUUCAAUCCAGUGAACACGUGA
This 202-nucleotide long non-coding RNA is filed under the name Mustela putorius furo (domestic ferret). RNAcentral describes it as "lncRNA (ENSMPUG00000029291.1)". Lineage: Eukaryota; Metazoa; Chordata; Mammalia; Carnivora; Mustelidae. The record is from RNAcentral.